Molecule: small RNA, 29 nt
Filed under: Bombyx mori (domestic silkworm)
Lineage: Eukaryota; Metazoa; Arthropoda; Insecta; Lepidoptera; Bombycidae
Description: ovarian small RNA-17627
Source: RNAcentral
GUACCCCCUCUGGAGGGCGUGCCCCUGUA